GACUACGAUUCAUAUGAUCAGGUUUAUGGCUUUGCGUUAGGUUUAUUUGUUACCGUUUUCAAUCUUUCCAACUCCGAAUUCAAAUUCUUUCUAAUUCUAACUGAUCAUCGAAUCGAUUCAACCCUAGUAAGAAACCCACAAUGUCUCAUUGCCUCCAAUCUUUCGUUCGACCCAAUUUCAUCUCUAUUAGCGAAACUGAUUCGUUCUUCCCGAAUCUUGAUUAUUCGAACCCUAAUUUUUUUUUGGAAGAUCAUGUAUCGUCAUUUUCGGGUUUCAUGUUUCUGAACCCUAAAAAUCUUGAUUCGAUUUGAAAGUUAAAUGUAGAAAUCGAAAAGAAUUAAACGACGACGUUGGAUUCACUUCACUCUCAAUCCAAAUUGUAAAGGAACCUGUUGCUCUGAGACUCACAUCCACUGGUAAAGUCACCAGAUACUGGAAGACAUUACCCUUCACAAUGAUAGUAAUUGUUCGUAAAUGGGACCAGCAAAAGGAAUGGCUAGUCAAUGUGUAUGAGGAAGAGAGCCCAUCGGAGGAGAAAUCAGUGUUGAUUGCAAAAAUGAUAUGUUUAGAAACACAUCCAAAACAUCAAUGGAGGAAGCACCAGACAAGCAAGCAGCUAAAGGUUGGUAAUUCUGCAACGUCUAUUGGCACAAACCAGAGAAAAGGAUGUUAUUAUACCUCAUUCCACGAGUUGUAAAACGCAAGGGGAUCAGUGAACAUUCUUUGAAUCAUGACAAGAAACUCGUGGAAAAAAAUUAUGGAGGUUCCGAAGACUUGCUCCUUGGAGAACUGCAGUUUGCAUUAAUUGCCUUUUUGAUGGGUCAGUCGUUAGAAGCAUUUCUCCGGUGGAAAUCCUUGCUUAGCCUUCCGUUUGGCUGCACUGAAGCAGAUUUCUGUAAACUCUAAUUUAGAGAAGAAAGCACCAGAUUAUGUUGCUCAAAAGGCAUAAUCUCAGGAGCCCUUUCUGCACAAGGUACAUCUUAUAUUACAAUGAAGUGAUAAAUGUUAAUGUACAACUCUUCAAAGAAUUUGAGAAAGAUGUUAUUAUGUUUAUUACGUAUCGAGUCUUAUUUGUUGUUCAAAUGUAUAAAUCAGUUGCUAUUUGCUUGAUGGAGGUUGUAACAUAUAAAAAAUAGUAGGAAAUAUUGCUCAUCUAUUGUCAAUACCACUGGAUGUGUUCUUAUUUAGUCGACAGAAACUAUUAGAUGGCUCUUUCACUUUAAUAGUGACUUGUUUUCUGAAUUUGCAUAACAUCUUUCUAUUCAGAGCUUGCCUAACCUAUGUGGGUUUCGAGGUUUUAAACAUAAUUGUUUGAUUGAGACAUGGAUUAUUAACCCAUAUUUAGACUGGUUUGCAUAGGGUAAAUUGACGUAAAGUGCGAAGGUAUAAAGGAGAAAAAGACUUGAGAAGAAGGGGAAGUUCUAGUUGGCGGGUGAUAUAGAAUCUGACUAAGCAAGAGAAGACUCUUAGCUUGCAGAAGGAUAGAAAUUGAGAGAGGCUUGAGAUAGUAAAUAGAGGCUAAACAUCAACAAUACACUGUUUACGUUGAUGGGUGUUAAGAAAAGGCCUAAAUUCACGCCUAAUUUGUUUGAGGCUUUUAUUUAUUUAUUUUUUUAACUACAAUUCAACAAAUGACUAAUUUAUCGCAAAAGGUUCAAUAUGGAAUUAUUGCUGAUCCAAAUGCAAUGGUGGAAGAUUUGGGUGAAUGGAAGGAGGGGCAAUGGCUUUUGGUUCAGAAGUGGCCGAGGGAAUUAAUGCAGUAGGUGUAUGUAUGCCUUUUUUUUC
This is a long non-coding RNA of Trifolium pratense (red clover), 1785 nucleotides long. RefSeq lists it as uncharacterized. The record is from RefSeq and is a predicted model, not a curated record. NCBI's taxonomy places the organism in Eukaryota, Viridiplantae, Streptophyta, Magnoliopsida, Fabales, Fabaceae. The transcript is spliced from 7 exons.